UGCCAGCCGCCGCGGUAAGACGGAGGGUGCAAACGUUGCUCGGAAUCACUGGGCAUAAAGGGCACGUAGGCGGUCCGCUCAGUCGGAUGUGAAAGCCCCCGGCUCAACCGGGGAAUUGCAUUCGAUACUGGCGGGCUCGAGGAUGGUUGGGGUGAGUGGAACUCCAGGUGGAGCGGUGAAAUGCGUAGAUAUCUGGAGGAACACCGGUGGCGAAAGCGGCUCACUGGACCAUUUCUGACGCUGAGGUGCGAAAGCGUGGGGAGCAAACAGGAUUAGAUA
RNAcentral lists this ribosomal RNA (279 nucleotides) under uncultured bacterium. RNAcentral describes it as "partial 16S ribosomal RNA". It matches the Rfam family "Bacterial small subunit ribosomal RNA", at positions 506 to 784 of the family's 1533-position model. The record is from RNAcentral.